Long non-coding RNA from Capsicum annuum, 499 nucleotides. RefSeq lists it as uncharacterized. The transcript has 3 exons. The record is from RefSeq and is a predicted model, not a curated record. NCBI's taxonomy places the organism in Eukaryota, Viridiplantae, Streptophyta, Magnoliopsida, Solanales, Solanaceae.
UUAACUCAAAUAACAAACUCCAUGGUCUUAUCUCCUCCUUCAAAAUUUCAACCUUUCUUCCUUUGUUUAUACUAUUUUCAGCCGCAUUAUUCUGAAACUGGGAUGGUUCUACUUUUUGGUGUUUAAAGAGAGUUUUAGGUCCCUGACUCAGAUUACACGUCCAAGUAUGGAAUUGAGGGAGAUAAGGGAUGCAUGGACCCACCAUUCUUUGAAUUGUAAUCUUCCUUUCAGACGGAGCAGUGAAGAGCUGAUUUGCCAAGGUUGGGUUACUGUGAACGGGUCUGUUUGCAAGACUCCACAGGUCAAGUUCAGAAAUACAUAUUGCAAAAGUUGAUGGGUUUUGAAUACAGUGCAUAUUUUUUUUUUCUUUGGAUAGAUUGUUGACAACUUGACUAUAUUUCCCUUUUUGGCAAAUCAUGUUCUUAAGCCCAAGGCUAGUUUAGUCACAUGUGUUUUGCAUGUGUAACUUUUGAUUAUUUACAAUUAGAUGAUUUCAUCU